Molecule: ribosomal RNA, 501 nt
Filed under: Pithecopus nordestinus
Lineage: Eukaryota; Metazoa; Chordata; Amphibia; Anura; Hylidae
Description: partial 12S ribosomal RNA
Rfam family: Bacterial small subunit ribosomal RNA
Source: RNAcentral
ACCCCACUAUGCUUAACCGUAAACCUUAAAUUACAUUACAAACGCCAGAGAACUACGAGCAAAGCUUAAAACUCAAAGGACUUGACGGUACCCCACAUCCACCUAGAGGAGCCUGUCCUAUAAUCGAUAACCCCCGCUUUACCUCACCAUUUUUAGUCAUCAGCCUGUAUACCUCCGUCGUCAGCUUACCACGUGAGCGAACCACAGUGAGCCUAACGCCUACUUGCCACACGUCAGGUCAAGGUGCAGCUAAUAAAAUGUGGAAGAGAUGGGCUACACUCUCUAAUUUAGAAAAUACGGAAAACUAUAUAUGAAACCUAGUUAGAAGGCGGAUUUAGCAGUAAAAAGAAAAUAGAGAGUUCUUUUUAAUUCGGCACUGGGGUGUGUACACACCGCCCGUCACCCUCUUCAAAACCUAACCAAAUAGUAUUUAACUAAUCUCUUACUGUAAGAAGAGGUAAGUCGUAACAUGGUAAGUAUACCGGAAGGUGUGCUUGGAAA